AUACGGAGGAUCCGAGCGUUAUCCGGAUUUAUUGGGUUUAAAGGGUGCGCAGGCGGCCAUUUAAGUCAGCGGUUAAAUCGUGGGGCUCAACCCCAUUCUGCCGUUGAUACUGGGUGGCUUGAUUGCGGUCGAGGUUGGCGGAAUUCGUUGUGUAGCGGUGAAAUGCAUAGAUAUGACGAAGAACACCGAUUGCGUAGGCAGCUGACCAGAUCGCAAAUGACGCUCAUGCACGAAAGUGCGGAGAUCGAACAGGAUUAGAUACCCUGGUAGUCCGCACAGUAAACGAUGAAUACUUGUUUUCGGCGAUAUAAUGUCGGAGGCAAAGCGAAAGCGAUAAGUAUUCCACCUGGGGAGUACGCCGGCAACGGUGAAACUCAAAUGAAUUGACGGGG
Molecule: ribosomal RNA, 392 nt
Filed under: uncultured bacterium
Lineage: Bacteria
Description: partial 16S ribosomal RNA
Rfam family: Bacterial small subunit ribosomal RNA
Source: RNAcentral